UCCCUGGUGGCUCAGAUGGUAAAGCGUCUGCCUACAAUGUGGGAGACCCAGGUUCAAUCCCUGGGUUGGGAA
This is a transfer RNA of Ovis aries (sheep), 72 nucleotides long. It matches the Rfam family "tRNA". From Rfam's summary of the family: Transfer RNA (tRNA) molecules are approximately 80 nucleotides in length. Their secondary structure includes four short double-helical elements and three loops (D, anti-codon, and T loops). Lineage: Eukaryota; Metazoa; Chordata; Mammalia; Artiodactyla; Bovidae. The record is from Rfam.